This 2373-nucleotide long non-coding RNA is filed under the name Homo sapiens (human). RNAcentral's name for it is "non-protein coding LINC00115:34". The record is from RNAcentral. Lineage: Eukaryota; Metazoa; Chordata; Mammalia; Primates; Hominidae.
GCAAACUAAACAACAAUGAAACAGAACAGAGUGAAUCUGCUGUAGCUCAAGAGAGGACGUAGCUGCCCCCACUCCGCAUCCCCGGGCUCGGGUUUGCCUUGCUGACCUCUGCUGCCACCUGGUGCUGCACAGAGAAACUGAGGAGAAACCACAUCAGUCUCCUUCAGCCUCAGCUUCACAUCUGUGGGUCAAGCAACCCUUUCAGAAGCUGUAUAAUGUGGGAAAGCUUUCCUCUCAGGAAAAUGCACACAUCCAACUUUGAGAAGAUGCCCUUGGGGGUGCUUCAAGGAUCCUAGAUAAUAACCCCCUUUCCCGAACAUCCAAGAACCUAAGUUUUUUUUUUUUUUUUGAGAAAGUCUCGCUCUCUCUCCCAUUCUGGAGUGCAGUGGCGUGAUCUUGGCUCACUGCAAGCUCCACCUCCCAGGUUCAAGCCAUUCUCCUGCCUCAGCCUCCCAAGUAGCUGGGGCUACAGGCACCUGCCACCACACCCGGCUAAUUUUUUUGUAUUUUUAGUAGAGACGGGGUUUCACCGUGUUAGCCAGAAUCGUCUUGAUCUCCUGACCUUGUGAUCCACCCGCCUCGGCCUCCCAAAGUGCUGGGAUUACAGGUGUGAGCCACCACGCCUGGUCCAAGAACCCAACUUUUAGAUCUAGAGUGAUGUCAGCAUGACAUUGAUUUCCUGAGGCCCAGGGGUGAAGGAGCUGAGGACAGCAGAGGGGUGAAGGAAGUCAGCUACAGACAGCAGCAGCUGAUGCACAGGCCUCCCAGUGCCUGAAGUCACCCGGAAUUGGGAAGUGCUCAGAAGCUUACAAAGCUGCCUCGAGGUGGGAACACAACAUUAAUCCAAGAGCAGAUCCCUGAUCCUAUAAAAAUGUACUAGAUGCAGUGGGGGCAUUUUAAAUGAGCAGGGAAGGACAGACAGAUAAACAGAAGGACAAACAGUAUUGGGAUUGGGAUAAAUGCUCAGCUUUUGCCCAAAUCUUAGUGACUUAAGCAUCACUUAUUUGCUCACGAUUCUGUGGCUGGACCAUUUGGUUUGGCUCACAGGGCAGGGACUGUGCUGGUCUUACCUGAGCAGACCUGCAUGUCUGCGGUCAACUGGGUUGGCAGAGACAGAGUGACUGUCUUCCUCCAGGAAGCAGCAGGUUAACUGGUUGGCAGAGACAGAGGGACUGAGGGACUGUCUCCCUCCAGGAAGCAGCAGGUUAACUGGUUGGCAGAGACAGAGGGACAGAGGGACUGUCUUCCUCCAGGAAGCAGCAGGUUAACUGGUUGGCAGAGACAGAGGGACAGAGGGACUGUCUUCCUCCAGGAAGCAGCAGGUUAACUGGUUGGCAGAGACAGAGGGACAGAGGGACUGUCUUCCUCCAGGAAGCAGCAGGUUAACUGGUUGGCAGAGACAGAGGGACUGAGGGACUGUCUUCCUCCAUGAAGCAGCAGGUUAACUGGUUGGCAGAGACAGAGGGACUGAGGGACUGUCUUCCUCCAGGAAGCAGCAGGUUAACUGGUUGGCAGAGACAGAGGGACUGAGGGACUGUCUUCCUCCAGGAAGCAGCAGGUUAACUGAUUGGCAGAGACAGAGGGACUGAGGGACUGUCUCCCCCCAGGAAGCAGCAGGUUGGCUCUGUUUCCUUCGUGGGGCAGCUGGUCUCCAGGGCAGCAAGAGAGACCAAGCCCCAGUGCACAUUCUACAGCCUCUGUGCACAUCAGACUUGUUAAUAUCCCAUUGGCCAGUGUAAGUCACUUGGCCAAGCCCAGAUUAAGGAGUGGAAAGAUGGAGGCUAUCUCCUCCUGGGAGAGGAGGCAAAGGAGGUGGGAGUAUUAUGUGGCCACUUAUGUUUGCAAUCUACCAUACUUAGCACUUUGAGAAAAGAAUUAACUGAGAAACUUGCUUCAAAUAGGGCCAGUAAAAUGAAGCCCCAAUUGAAGUAAAAUGCAUAUAUAAAAAAUGAAACUGUGACCGAUUUUAAGGACAGUAUUGGCAAAUAUUUCUGUGCUCUUGGAGGAGAAGACCCUUAUUGGCAUGACAUGUCAGAAACCACAAUGAAAGAAUUAUUUUAACUUGCAUUCAUAAAAAUUAAAAUUAUUCAUUAAAAACAUCGUGAAUGAAAUUAAAAGUCAAAAUGUAAGCCAGAAAAUUAUUUACAACGUAUGUGUCAGGAAAAGACAAUACCCUUCAAACUUUGAGAGUUUACAUCAGAAAGAAAACAGCAAAUGACAUGAUCCAAACUUGAUAAAGGACAUGAAAAAGAGCCAGCACUUAGUAUGUUUUCUGAAUGAAUAAGUAGCCAACAGCACAUGAAAAUGCGUGUAAUCCAUUUGUAAGCAGAGAAAUGCAAACUAAAACAGUAAAGUGUCAUUUUCACUUCCUGG